Molecule: microRNA precursor, 235 nt
Filed under: Sorghum bicolor (sorghum)
Lineage: Eukaryota; Viridiplantae; Streptophyta; Magnoliopsida; Poales; Poaceae
Description: MIR6217 microRNA precursor family
Rfam family: MIR6217 microRNA precursor family
Source: Rfam by way of RNAcentral
UGGCUACAAAAUAAAAUACUCCUAUUUUGUAGCCACUUUGACUUACGAUAAUAACUAUGCUAGUUUACAAGAUUAUAAUAACUUCUUACUAAGUGGUUUUGCUAUAAUGUUACGGUAAACAUCUCCAUCUGUUAUAGUGACUCAAUUAUCGUAAAUAUGUAUACAUAUUAUCGUAAAUUAGUAUAUAAAAUUAUCGUAAAUGGAAGUGGCUACAAAAUAACUUAUUUUAUAGCUA